Non-coding RNA from Paramuricea clavata, 276 nucleotides. NCBI's taxonomy places the organism in Eukaryota, Metazoa, Cnidaria, Anthozoa, Malacalcyonacea, Plexauridae. The record is from the annotation of a GenBank genome assembly.
ACUCAAGGGAAGCUCCGAAUAAACAUCCACUCUUUGAGUGUGAGCCUGACGUAAACUAAAGUCUGGUUUUCAUAUGGUUGUAACGGUCGUAAAGAUUGAGUCACGAUCUUUCUCAUCAGCCGAAAUACAACAUUUUAGUCAGAACUGAAAAUACGCGGAGUGAUUAUAACUAGAGAAUAACUUAUGAUUUAUAUGUGAUUUACAGGUCUAAACUAUUAUAAACUGGCCGUUGAGAAAGAUCGUGACUGUAUUUUUACGACCAUAUGGAAACCAGGC